GGAGAGGAGAGGUAAGGUAAAGGACAGGAGAGGUAAGGUAGAAGAGAGGUAAGGUAGGGGAGGGGAGAAGGUAGAGGAGGGGAGGGGAGAGGUAGAAGACAGGAGAGGGGGAGAGGUAAGGUAGAGGAGAGGGAGAGUUAAGGUAGAGGACAGGAGGGGAGAGAUGAGAGGGGAGAGGUAAGGUAGAAGACAGGUGGGGAGAGAUGAGAGGGGAGAGGUAAGGUAGAAGACAGGGGGAGAGGUAAGGUAGAGGACAGGAGAGGAGAGGUAAGGUAGAAGACAGGUGGGGAGAGAUGAGAGGGGAGAGGUAAGGUAGAAGACAGGGGGA
This is a long non-coding RNA of Oncorhynchus tshawytscha (Chinook salmon), 328 nucleotides long. Lineage: Eukaryota; Metazoa; Chordata; Actinopteri; Salmoniformes; Salmonidae. The record is from Ensembl.